RNAcentral lists this long non-coding RNA (2693 nucleotides) under Mus musculus (house mouse). RNAcentral describes it as "long non-coding RNA chr9:14283692-14286385". The record is from RNAcentral. Lineage: Eukaryota; Metazoa; Chordata; Mammalia; Rodentia; Muridae.
GCAACUUGCUCUCUCGCUCUCUCUCUCUCUCUCUCUCUCUCUCCCUCCCUCCCUCCCUCUCUCUCUCUGUGUGUGUGUGUGUGUGUGUGUGUGUGUGUGUGUGUGUGUGUAGGGAGGAGAGGCCGAGGAUGUAGAUGUGGUGUGUGAGUGCAUGGAACUUCAGCAGCCAUCAGCGGGCUGCCUGUCUUAUGGUCAUCAGGGCACGGGACAGGGAUCUGUUUACUCUGAGAUUAACCAAGACUUGAGAGUAGCAGCAGCAUCUGGCCUAUCGUUAGGUAUCAUUGUGAUAGGCAUGAAGAAGGAAGUAUAAUUUGCCACUGAUCUUCCCAGCCUUUUCUUUCUGCGAUUGCCUGGACACCAUGCUAUCCAGCUAGUGCAUCAGUUGUCCUUCACAUACUUCAUUAGAGAUGACAAGUUACAUGGAUUUUUAUCUUACCAGAUGGUCUCUUAUUUGGACUCUGGCUCAUGAAGGUUAAAAAAAAAAAAAAAAAGAACAAAAAACAAAAAAACAAACCUCUUAAAUGAUGAGACUUUAAACACAUAGGUAUUGGCAGUAUAUUCAUAUUGGAUGCAAUACAGUAGAGCUGAUACAGUACAAUUGCACCAUUUCCAAAAUAUAUCCUCUGUGUGUGUGUGUGUGUGUUUCUAUGUAUGUAUAUGUAUGUGUGGUUGCACUUUAUCUGUACAUGUGUGUGUGGAGGACAGAGGUUGACAUUCAUUAAAUAUCUUCGUAAUCGCUCUCCACCUUAUUUUUUGAAGCCAGGUAUCUCACUGACCCAGUUCACCCAUUCAGUUAGAGUGUCUGGCCAGCAAGGCCUCUGGAUCCUCCUUUCUCACCCCCAUCUCCUAGCACUGGGACUGAUGGUCAGGUGUCUCCAUGUCCAGCCUUUUGCAUGGGUGCUGGAGAACAGAUUCUGAACCUGAUGUUUACAUAGCAAACACUACCCACUGAGCCCAGCCUGCAAUUUUUUAAUGAUAAAGAACUGGAAUUCAGAGGGUUUUGGAACUGGCUGUGGGUCAUAGUACCAAUAUGCAAACAGGAUUAGAAACCAAUUUGAGAUUCAAAGUGUGACACAGUAUACAAACAUAAAUACUAUAUAUUCUACUUUUUCUUAAUAUGAAAAGCUCAUCAAGCCUUAUAAAGUAAACUUGACUGUAUUGAAUAGGAACCUAGAGCCUUAAGAGAUUAACAGGUAUGACCUCAAAUUUAGAUGUAUUCUACUCUUUUCAUUAUUAAUGAUUUUAAAUGAAGUUAUUAACAAUCUGGGCCAUACUCUCUUAAUAUGAGUAAUCAUGAGAUUGAUUAAGACAGAUAUAGGUUGUUUCUUUUUUUUUUUUUUUUUUCUCUUAUAGUAGCGAUAGAAUCCAGGGCUGUGCACAUGGGAGACAGAGCUGAAGUGUUUAUAGCAGUUUUCAUCUAUUUACUUUUUACUUUUAUCUUUUUAAAUCUCCAAUUAUGAGACCAGUUUCUCCUGAUCUCAGGAUGUCUUUUUCCAGCUGCCCAGUACACUUGACCUCUCUUCCUGCCAGCCGCCAGUGGUGACUUAAUCACACUGAGUCACCCAGGACUGCUAUAGCAUGUUUGAAAAAAGAUUGUCUAGAAAUAUUUCAAGUGUUGUGUUUCUUGACGAGGGCCCCCAGGAAAUAGCUUGUGUUUUGGUAAAUGCCUUUGCAGUGCUUUAUGAAGCUAAGCAAUAGCAUGCCCAUUUCUACAUGAAGCAUCAGUUAACAGUAACAAGAAGCACUGCAUCAGCAGUGUCCCUGCUUACUGUCCCCACCCCUGGUACCUUUAUUUGCUGCUGUGCCAUGUCCUCAGCACAGUUCCAUCCUUUAACUGGCUUUGUUUGGAGAGACAGCUUCCUGGUGCAGGUCUUCUAUUGUAGAUCAGGACUCCAAGAGUUCCCACAGAGACACCUAGGAUGGGGCUUUGUGGUGCUCUGCAGAUACCGCAGGUCUGCAGAGGUGCUAACUGACAGACGAGCCUGCAAAUCUGGCCACAGUUCAGUGAAGAGAGUCAGUCCUGAGAGUGAAGUUAUAGCCUCUCUACAAACUGCCUUUCCUAACUGGCAUCUCAGAGGGGUGCUGAUUUGAGUAUCCACUCAAGAAAAAUUAUUUUCUCAUCAAAACUUUUCUGUAUAUUACUUGGAAUUGGUAGAUUCUCAGUUGGGCUGUAGGGUACCUAUUUGUGUUGUGUUUUUUUAUUGCUUAAAUAUAUUAUGUUUGAUAUAUACUAUGUUUAUAUUAGUACUAUAUAAUACCUUAUGUGUAUUAAAUGUAACUAUAAGAUGUAGGUUCUAAUAUUAUUUAGACUAAGUUGUUGAUACUUGGAAGUGAGCAUGGCUAGGGUGUGAGUCAGUAGCAGAUCACUUGUCUAGCAUGUUUGAGGCUCUGGAUUCAAUCUCCAAUAAUGCAUAAAAGAAAUUAUCAUAAACCAUUAAUUUCAUUUGAUUAUACUAGAAAACUAUUUAGUAGUUGGAACUCUUCAAAAUGAGGGAAGUAUAUGUUUAGGUUAAUAGAAACACUUUCUUGGUAAAACUGUAGAUUUCCAUUUUAAUAACAGUAUGUUUUGUGUCGUAUACUAUUUCUUUUAAAUAGCGCCCACAUUCUUAAGUUUGUUAAUACCUACAAACUAUUAAAUAUUAUAUGUCUUCCUUUUUAAAAUCCCUUUAUACAUUAAAUCCUUUCUGAUAGGU